This 3193-nucleotide unclassified non-coding RNA is filed under the name Hevea brasiliensis (rubber tree). Lineage: Eukaryota; Viridiplantae; Streptophyta; Magnoliopsida; Malpighiales; Euphorbiaceae. The record is from RNAcentral.
CUGGUGUGAACCGAGAAAGGUUAGACUUGUUCAUACCAUGUCCAUGUCAAGGCCUUUAUUAUUUACGUUACUUUCAUCAUAGGCAUCUAUUUUCCCUUUUAUAUCAUUUUUUUUAUUCAAAUAUAAGUAGGAUUGUCAAUGUUUAAUUAAUACUGAUAUACAAGGCAUUAAAUACACGCUUAUCCUAAUAAGUUGGGCAUAUUUGUUGAUCUGGUGGAAUUCUCUUCUGUGAACUAUUAUUACUUUUUAGAAGUUAUUGAUCUCUCAGCUUAUCGGUGAGCUUUAUGCCACCACAUAUAAAUAUUUGUGUUCUUUGGAUUUGUUAACUGGUUUUUUGCUAGUUACAAAUUGCUUAAUUUAGUUUAUUACUAAAAUAUGUGUACAUGGAUGGAUAAAAUAAUGGCUAAUUAGCUGAAAAAAUCAAAACCUUUAGUCUCUGUAUUUUCAAAACCAAAAAAUUUAGGUUAAAAAAUCCACAAUUUAGUCCCUCCAUUCAAUUAAUUGUUAAUUAUAGCAAAAAUGACCAUUUCCUAAGAUUUGGAGAGAGAAAUAGGAAGCUGCAGCUUCCUUGCCUUGAUCUAGUCAUCACAUGCUACGAUUAAGUUGUGACCUGUCUUUGUUCACCAACCCCUUCCCAAAUGAACCCAUAGCUAUUGAGAGUGCAAAGAUCAAAGUUCUAGGGAGAGAUCUCAUGGUUGAGUCGCGACUCUUAAUUACAACCUGACUGGAUCUUUGUUUUUCUGGGCAAUAAUUUUUUUAUUUUAUUUCAAAAAAUCAAAAUUUCACUGAUUAAAAUUAAAAAAUGGUAUUGGAAAACUUAAAAAAAUUUUCAAAACAAUUCUAGAAAAUUAUUGACCGGACAAAUAAUUAAUUUUGGGAAGAAUAAUAUAUUUAUAUACUAUUUAAAUAUAAAGUUUAAAGUAAGGGAUUAAGUUAUAGGUUUUGUCAAAUUUCAGGGAUAAAAUUGCUUAGUUUUGAAAAAUAUUGGAUUAAGUUGUAAGGUUCUACCAAACCUUAGAGGCUAAAUUGUAAUUUACCAAAUUUUAAUUUGGGUAGUGGAUAAAAUUUCUUUGACUUUGAAAGGUGUGGUUUAGUUGUCAAAAAUUAAAAGGUUUGGAUAAAAGAGCAAUAAACGCAAACGUUUAGAUGUUUCUAGUCAAUAGCCUACAAUAAUUGAUACUCCUGCAUUAAUGUUUCUCAUUCUGUAUUGAAAAAUUGUAAAAUAAUAAUAAUAAUAACAAUAUCGAGAAACAAAGUCACGAGAAACCCAGAAGCAACGCAGACAUUGGCCAUCACCACCACACCCUCAUCCGCCAUUCCCCAGCCACACUGCCACCACCAGCUAACUCGCCGGCCUGUGGCAAGUCCGAAGUUACCUGCCCGAUCUUCAAAGGAGUCCCAUAGCCGAAGAUCCAAACAGGUUAGAUGCAAACCGUUCAAGACUCGCCUGAAAUCCGAAAAUUUUCAGCGUUUGACCUCCAAAGCUCAUCAUCGGCCACCGAUCUACACCUUCCCACAGUCGAAUAUCAGAUCUGGCACCCCUGGAGCAAGAUCUGAUCGGGUCGAGUCAGUGGAUCCAUCGGGCAAGAGAGGUAAGCUCACCACAGUUUCAGUGAGCCGCAUUACACCUGAUUUGCUUCAACUUCUGCCACAUCAGCAACUGCAUGCCACAUCAUCGACACGCCAGCAAUUGAGUGCCACAUCUUUUCACGUCAUUGACACAUCAGCAACCAAGUGUCACAUCAUCACUGCCACGUCAUCCUGCCACCUCAUCGCCACAUCAUCAAAAAUUGAAAUUGCCCUACCUUGCAAAUUUUGACCUUCUGAGUCCAUUUUUGCCAUCCGUUUUGGCAGAAGAUGACUCCAAGAGCCUAAAUUUUGUGUUUUCGGUGAGGUACACUUCUCUACUUGAGACUUGAUUAUUAUUCAUAAAUUGGGUAGUUUUGUAAGGUAUUUUAGAUUCAAUAAUUCGCUUCAUAAUUCACCUUACCCAUUCAACAUUAGCCUUACUCAGUUUCAUUCCUUUAAUUUCGUCUUUCUACUUAUAUACUAUGCAUUUAUCUAAUCCAAUCACCCAUAACCUUGACAUAAAUCAUUAAAAUUGAAUUUAAUAUUCUUAUUAGUGUGUGUUUGCACUAAGUUUGUUAUUUGCAUUCAUUUUAGUAAUUUUAGUCUGCUUAGCAUCCAUUAUGACUAAAGAUAAGCACCAUGCCUCUAUCUCACACUCACCCCCUAAUUUCCACUUUACAUGAUCAACCUCAAUUUGUUGAAUUAAAGAGACAAGUGGAAUAAAUUGUUGAACAUCUGAAAGUUAUGAGCAAACAAACUGUAAUGGAAGAAGAGUCCGUUAAACCACACCUAAGGUCACCUCAUCCUGUUGAGUCUGCACCUGCCGCAAUUUAUACACCAAGCGCACAAAAUGCAUCGCAUAGGGGUAGUAAUAUAACAACAAAACAAGUGAGGCUUAAUCCUGUUGGUAAUAUGCCUUUGCACUUUGAAGAAAGGAAACAUAUUGGUUCUGAUGAGCAUGUUUUUGAUGCACCACCAAACACUCAUUUUGGACAAGAUCCUCGUUUUGACCAUUAUGAUCCUCAUAGUAGGGCCCUCGAUAGAAACUAUAGGCAACCCGAUCCUCAUGGUAGACUCUCUGAUAGAGACCAUAGGCAACCUCCUAGAUAUGCUAAUAAUGAACAUGUUGAUAUCACUAGGAAGGUCAAACUAACUGCUCUUGAAUAUAAUGAAAAAUUGGAUCGUAAAGUUUUCAUUGAUUGUUUAGAUGGGAUAGAGGAGUAUUGUGAUUUUUAUCACAUAUCUGAUUUGGAGCGUGUUCAUUUUGCCAAAAUAAAAUUGACUAGAGCUACUAGAAAUAUUGGCAAAGUGUUCAACGCAAUAAGGAGCGCUUGAAUGAGCCUCUUAUUACUCAAUGGGCUAUCAUGAAAAGUAAGUUGAAGGAUAAGUACGUGCCUAGUUAUUAUAAGGAUGAUAUAGUACAUGAGAUGAUGAAUCUUAAGCAAUCAACUUCUAAUGAAACUAAAUACAUGAAAAAAUUUGAGAAAACUUUGCUUAGAUGUGAUUUAUUUUGUGAUUCAGUUGAGAACCCUUUGCUUGUGCUUCAUCGAUUUGUUAAUGGAUUGAGACUUGACAUUCAAAAGGAACUCAAAUUGCAUUCUGAAACAAUAAAAGAAGCCUAUCA